This 253-nucleotide ribosomal RNA is filed under the name uncultured bacterium. RNAcentral describes it as "partial 16S ribosomal RNA". It matches the Rfam family "Bacterial small subunit ribosomal RNA", at positions 524 to 776 of the family's 1533-position model. The record is from RNAcentral.
UACGAAGGGGGCUAGCGUUGUUCGGAUUUACUGGGCGUAAAGCGCGUGUAGGCGGGUCGUUAAGUUGGGGGUGAAAUCCCGGAGCUCAACUCCGGAACUGCCUUCAAAACUGGCGACCUGGACUCAAGUAGAGGCAAGUGGAAUUGCGAGUGUAGAGGUGAAAUUCGUAGAUAUUCGCAGGAACACCAGUGGCGAAGGCGACUUGCUGGACUUGUAGUGACGCUGAGACGCGAAAGCGUGGGGAGCAAACAGG